This is a transfer RNA of 73 nucleotides. It matches the Rfam family "tRNA". Rfam says of the family: Transfer RNA (tRNA) molecules are approximately 80 nucleotides in length. Their secondary structure includes four short double-helical elements and three loops (D, anti-codon, and T loops). Further hydrogen bonds mediate the characteristic L-shaped molecular structure. tRNAs have two regions of fundamental functional importance: the anti-codon, which is responsible for specific mRNA codon recognition, and the 3' end, to which the tRNAs corresponding amino acid is attached (by aminoacyl-tRNA synthetases). tRNAs cope with the degeneracy of the genetic code in two manners: having more than one tRNA (with a specific anti-codon) for a particular amino acid; and 'wobble' base-pairing, i.e. permitting non-standard base-pairing at the 3rd anti-codon position. The record is from Rfam.
GGGGCCAUAGCUCAGCUGGGAGAGCGCCUGCCUUGCACGCAGGAGGUCUGCGGUUCGAUCCCGCAUGGCUCCA